AAGGAGGUAAACAUUAAAAUGUUCCCCUGCAAGCUGUGUUAGGAGCCUCAGAAACAUUGAAGUCAUUGAGGUCCCUGAAAAUGGCUGCAGGG
RNAcentral lists this small nucleolar RNA (92 nucleotides) under Neogale vison (American mink). RNAcentral describes it as "Neovison vison (American mink) Small nucleolar RNA SNORA33 (ENSNVIG00000016489.1)". Lineage: Eukaryota; Metazoa; Chordata; Mammalia; Carnivora; Mustelidae. The record is from RNAcentral.